RNAcentral lists this ribosomal RNA (419 nucleotides) under uncultured Gemmatimonas sp. RNAcentral describes it as "bacterial SSU rRNA". It matches the Rfam family "Bacterial small subunit ribosomal RNA", at positions 355 to 774 of the family's 1533-position model. The record is from RNAcentral. Lineage: Bacteria; Pseudomonadati; Gemmatimonadota; Gemmatimonadia; Gemmatimonadales; Gemmatimonadaceae.
UGGGGAAUCUUGCGCAAUGGCCGAAAGGCUGACGCAGCGACGCCGCGUGUGGGAUGACGCCUUUCGGGGUGUAAACCACUGUUGCCCGGGACGAAACCGCCUAUUCGUGGGCGUUGACGGUACCGGGUGAGGAAGCACCGGCUAACUCCGUGCCAGCAGCCGCGGUAAUACGGAGGGUGCGAGCGUUGUCCGGAAUCACUGGGCGUAAAGGGCGCGUAGGCGGCUUGGGAAGUCCGUGGUGAAAGCUCGAGGCUCAACUUCGAGUCGGCCAUGGAUACUCCUAAGCUCGAGUCGACUAGAGGCAGAUGGAAUUCCGGGUGUAGCGGUGGAAUGCGUAGAGAUCCGGAAGAACACCGGUGGCGAAGGCGGUCUGCUGGGGUCGAACUGACGCUGAGGCGCGACAGCGUGGGGAGCAAACA